Molecule: ribosomal RNA, 661 nt
Filed under: Photobacterium kishitanii
Lineage: Bacteria; Pseudomonadati; Pseudomonadota; Gammaproteobacteria; Vibrionales; Vibrionaceae
Description: bacterial SSU rRNA
Rfam family: Bacterial small subunit ribosomal RNA
Source: RNAcentral
AGCGUUUGACGUUAGCAACAGAAGAAGCACCGGCUAACUCCGUGCCAGCAGCCGCGGUAAUACGGAGGGUGCGAGCGUUAAUCGGAAUUACUGGGCGUAAAGCGCAUGCAGGCGGUCUGUUAAGCAAGAUGUGAAAGCCCGGGGCUCAACCUCGGAACAGCAUUUUGAACUGGCAGACUAGAGUCUUGUAGAGGGGGGUAGAAUUUCAGGUGUAGCGGUGAAAUGCGUAGAGAUCUGAAGGAAUACCGGUGGCGAAGGCGGCCCCCUGGACAAAGACUGACGCUCAGAUGCGAAAGCGUGGGGAGCAAACAGGAUUAGAUACCCUGGUAGUCCACGCCGUAAACGAUGUCUACUUGAAGGUUGUGGCCUUGAGCCGUGGCUUUCGGAGCUAACGCGUUAAGUAGACCGCCUGGGGAGUACGGUCGCAAGAUUAAAACUCAAAUGAAUUGACGGGGGCCCGCACAAGCGGUGGAGCAUGUGGUUUAAUUCGAUGCAACGCGAAGAACCUUACCUACUCUUGACAUCCAGAGAAUUCGCUAGAGAUAGCUUAGUGCCUUCGGGAACUCUGAGACAGGUGCUGCAUGGCUGUCGUCAGCUCGUGUUGUGAAAUGUUGGGUUAAGUCCCGCAACGAGCGCAACCCUUAUCCUUGUUUGCCAGCAC